Molecule: microRNA precursor, 199 nt
Filed under: Triticum aestivum (bread wheat)
Lineage: Eukaryota; Viridiplantae; Streptophyta; Magnoliopsida; Poales; Poaceae
Description: MIR1435 microRNA precursor family
Rfam family: MIR1435 microRNA precursor family
Source: Rfam by way of RNAcentral
UAUGCUUGUCCUAAGUCGAACUUUGUUAAGUUUGACCAAGUUUAUAAAAAAAAUACUAAUAUCUACAAAAUGAAAUAUGUAUAGUAUAAAAACAUACUUUACAAGGAAUCUAAUUAAACGAAUUUGGUGCUGUAGAUGUUGGUAUAUUUUUUUAUAGACUUGGUGAAAUUUAGAAAAGUUCCACUCAGGACAAACUUAA